AGUUGAUUGUAUGUCAGUUUUUCAUUUGGCCUGGCUAGCUUACUCCUUUUUAAAUAUUGCUAGCUGCCUUGUGAAGGGCUUACGUGUAAUUGCAGUUC
Non-coding RNA from Drosophila melanogaster (fruit fly), 98 nucleotides. Its record names the gene mir-980. Lineage: Eukaryota; Metazoa; Arthropoda; Insecta; Diptera; Drosophilidae. The record is from Ensembl.